RNAcentral lists this ribosomal RNA (913 nucleotides) under Pseudomonas sp. Its description in RNAcentral is "Bacterial large subunit ribosomal RNA". It matches the Rfam family "Bacterial large subunit ribosomal RNA", at positions 1 to 1063 of the family's 2925-position model. Lineage: Bacteria; Pseudomonadati; Pseudomonadota; Gammaproteobacteria; Pseudomonadales; Pseudomonadaceae. The record is from Rfam by way of RNAcentral.
GAUCAAGCGCAUAAGGGCUUCUGAAGGAUGCCUUGGCGUCGAGAGGCGAUGAAGGACGUGGCACGCUGCGAUAAGUACCGGGGAGGCGCGAGCACGAAACAUCUCAGUACCCGGAGGAAAGGACAUCAACCGAGACUCCCGUAGUAGUGGCGAGCGAACCGGGACCAGGCCAGUGCUGUCGUGACAUAAAGCUGAACGAUCCUGGAAAGAUCGGCCAUAGCGGGUGAUAGCCCCGUAAGCGUCAAAUAGCGACAGACUCGAGUAGGGCGGGACACGUGAAAUCCUGUCUGAACAUGGGGGGACCACCCUCCAAGCCUAAGUACUCCUCGACGACCGAUAGUGAACAAGUACCGUGAGGGAAAGGUGAAAAGCACCCCGACGAGGGGAGUGAAAUAGAACCUGAAAUCGGAAGCCUACAAGCAGUCGGAGCCACCAAGCGUGGUGACGGCGUACCUUUUGUAUAAUGGGUCAGCGACUUCAUGUGCCGUGCAAGCUUAAGCCGUUAGGUGUAGGCGCAGCGAAAGCGAGUCUGAAUAGGGCGAAUUAAGUACGUCGCAUGACGACCCGAAACCAGGUGAUCUAGCCAUGAGCAGGUUGAAGGUUGGGUAACACCAACUGGAGGACCGAACCCGUGAAUGUUGAAAAAUUCUGGGAUGACUUGUGGCUAGGGGUGAAAGGCCAAUCAAACCUGGACAUAGCUGGUUCUCCGCGAAAUCUAUUUAGGUAGAGCGUUCGAUGUAUUCCUUGGGGGGUAGAGCACUGGAUGGAUGCGGGCGGCGCGAGCUGUACCAAUUCUAACCAAACUCCGAAUACCCAAGAGAACUAUCGGGCAGACACACGGCGGGUGCUAACGUCCGUCGUGAAAAGGGAAACAACCCUAACCAUCAUCUAAGGCCCCCAAGUACUGGCUAAG